This 253-nucleotide ribosomal RNA is filed under the name uncultured bacterium. Its description in RNAcentral is "partial 16S ribosomal RNA". It matches the Rfam family "Bacterial small subunit ribosomal RNA", at positions 524 to 776 of the family's 1533-position model. The record is from RNAcentral.
UACGGGGGGGGCAAGCGUUGUUCGGAAUUACUGGGCGUAAAGGGUGCGUAGGCGGUUCGCUAAGUUGGAUGUGAAAACUCUGGGCUUAACCCAGAGCCUGCAUUCAAAACUGACGGGCUAGAGUUCUGGAGGGGGUAGCGGAAUUCCUGGUGUAGCGGUGAAAUGCGUAGAUAUUAGGAAGAACACCGGUGGCGAAGGCGGCCCACUGGAUCGGUACUGACGCUGAGGUGCGAAAGCGUGGGGAGCAAACAGG